UCUUUUCAUGUAUAAUCUAUUUUUUGUAAGUUUAUAUGGAAUUUUAUUUUGUAAUUAUGUAUAAUUAACACUUACCAUAAUUGUGUGAAACAAACUGGUACGCAUUGCUCACGAAUCGCGAACAUUGAGUUGAGUGCAUGUGGUGCGCAAUUAUUCAAGACUGCUUACGGAGGGUACUUACGUGUUUGGAGAAACAUGGGGCAAUUCAUACGGUUCAUAAAGUACGCACCACCCGUCAUAAUUGCAUGCAACAAACUAGACGCUUUGCACAUGAAUCGUGCACGUUGAGUUGAGUGCGUGAGGUGCGCAAGUACACAAGACUAUGUAUGGAGGGCACUUAUGUGGCACAUCAUACGUACAUGUUGGGGGAACAUGGGGCAAAUCUUACAGCACAUAAGUGUACACCACCCGUCAUAAUUACGCGCAACAAACCAAUGCACUUUGCGCUUGAAUUGCGUGUGUUGAAAAUUGAAACACUACUGGACAACUGUGACUGUGUGAUGAAGUUUGGAUGGUGACGAGAGUAGACGGAAUCACUAUUCAUUUUCUCCAAUAGGCUUUUUGUAGUAUCUAUAUAUAUAUAUAUAUAAAAUAAACACUUGCAAAGUAUUUUUGGCUAAACAUAUCAUUGUGUUGGGAUCUUUAGAAAAGAAAAAAUAAUAUUAACUCAUUGGAUAUUUAAAAGUAAAAACUUAUAUUACUUUUUAGGAUCUUUUUUUUAAAAAUAUAAUACUUAUUCAUGGGAUAUUUUAAAAGAAAAACGGAAAACUACAUCGGGCAUGGGCACGUUUACUCCAUACAUCUACUUUAAAAUUUAUUUUCAAGUUGCUUUAUCCAUUAUUCCAUAUCAUAUGUAUGAAUUUAUCUAUCUAUUUUUCUAAUUUUAUUAAAGCAAGAUUACAAGUUCAUGGUUCUAAACGCUAUAUUUUUACACAAACUAAUUAUUACUCAUUAGGUCUAUAUAGUUGUAAGGGUCUAUAUAUUUGAUCUGAAACUAUUUUACAUUUCCUCUUUUUCUCACAAUAGAUUUGAGUUAGAGAGAUCCAUUUUAUUGAAAUAAGCUGCAUUUUAAAUUUCAUUUGACUAUAAAGUGACUGUAAUGGAUAACAAACACUCAGACAUGAGAUAGGUUCUCAAUACAUGUGUAUUUUCAAUAAAAAUAAUUAAAAACUGUAAUGCAAUAAAACUUCUUUUUCUAAAAAAAAAAAGCUAGUAGACUAUAAUUUAAGAAUUUUGGUUAUUUUUUGAAAUUUUUGUAACGUCAGAUCUUGUCGAUUUGCCCGAUCCUCCAAUCUGAAUUGUUGAUCCACCGAUCCGACCUAGUCUUCGGGAUGGGUGAUUCAAAUCACAAAUCAAUUUGUUUUCAAACCAUGAUUACAGGCAUUGCAGCAGGUGCAAAGACCGAAGUAUAAGUAUUCAAAUUUGGGAUAAAAUAUAAUUUUGUCAAAGUCAAUUCAUACAAACAAGCGUGAAUUAUGUACAGACAACAAAAAUUAUUAAAAUACGAAAUGAGUCCAAUUUUGGGGUAAAAUUACGUUCAAGGUUGAUCAACCUGAGUUUUUUUAUUUUUUUCAAAAUUUCUCCUCGGUAGAAAGAUAGCAUCCUCGGACAGCAAAUUUUUUGUUUUUUUUAGUUUUUCGAUAGUAGGGUUGUGCCCUAAUGUCUAUGGUAGUGCUCCGUCGGUCUCAUGAUAGCAUCAUGAGACCGCCUUUUUUGGUGCAUUUCAAAGUGUUCCAAGGUUGGCUUCCUCGGACCAGAAAGACUUACUUUUUUAAGCAUUCAAAGGUGGUCUGUGCUGCCCAUUCUCAGACCGCCUUUUCUACUGCUCUUCACGGUGGUUUGAGGUUGGCAUCCUCGGACCGACUUCUUUGGUUCUCUUUAAGAGGGCCCGAGGUUAUCAUCUUUGGACCACAUUAUCUCAUUUAUUUGUUAAGAAAUAAGCUGGUCUGAGGAUGCCAACCUUAAACUACCUUGUAGACUGGCACUGCCCCUCACACUAAAACACUGUCCUACUAACGAAACAGACAAAAAAUAAUAAUAAUUAAAAAGUGGUUUGAGGAUACUAUCAUUGGACCGAAAGGUAAUUUUUUAAAAAAUAAAAAAUAUGGGUUGACUGACUAAUUUUCAUCCAAAAUUGUCCCAUUUUGUAUUUUUCUAUUUUUUGUCCAUACAUAAAUUAGUUUACAAACAAUAUUGAUUGAAUUUAAAUUCAUUUAAUAUUCCAUGCUCUCUAUCCAUUUUAUGAUUCAUAUUUUAUUUGAUUUUUCAGAAUCCAUUUUUUUCCAAGCUUUAAGGAUUUUUAGACCUCUUGGGAAUGCAAGUGCAAACUCACGCGUGUUGAUUAGACUCGCCCAAGUUGAAAGAAAAGAAAAUGCUGAAAAAUGAAAAUAAUUUUUUUAAAAUUUGUAUACUAUUGAAAUCCAUUUCGGGCUAAAAAUAGAGAAGUUAUAUAUAUAUAUAUAUAUAUAUAUAUAAAUAAAUAAAUAAAUAAAUAAAAGAAAAGGAAAAACUUGGGUCGAUCCUUAUUUGUUUUAACUUUUUAUGGCAUUUGGAACAG
Molecule: long non-coding RNA, 2557 nt
Filed under: Amborella trichopoda
Lineage: Eukaryota; Viridiplantae; Streptophyta; Magnoliopsida; Amborellales; Amborellaceae
Description: long non-coding RNA (ATRI_LNC000443)
Source: RNAcentral